RNAcentral lists this ribosomal RNA (897 nucleotides) under uncultured archaeon. RNAcentral describes it as "bacterial SSU rRNA". It matches the Rfam family "Archaeal small subunit ribosomal RNA", at positions 21 to 903 of the family's 1478-position model. The record is from RNAcentral.
CCCCACUGCUAUCGGGAUAGGACUAAGACAUGCUAGUCGAGUGGCUCAGCCAAAACGAGUCACGGCAUACAGCUCAGUAACACGUGGCUAACCUGCCCUUGGGACGAGAACAACCCCGGGAAACUGGGGCUAACUCUCGAUAGGCGAAGAACUCUGGAAUGAGUCUUCACCCAAACAGUUUAAGGUUAUGCUCUUUAAACCGCCCAAGGAUGGGGCCGCGACCGAUCAGGUUGUUGGUGAGGUAAUGGCUCACCAAGCCGAUAAUCGAUAGGGGCCGUGAGAGCGGGAGCCCCGAGAUGGGUACUGAGACAGCGACCCAGGCCUUACGAGGCGCAGCAGGCGCGGAACCUCCGCAAUACACGAAAGUGUGACGGGGUUACCCAAAGUGUUCAAUUUUGAACUGUGGUAGGUGAGUAAUGUUCCCUACUAGAAAGGAGAGGGCAAGGCUGGUGCCAGCCGCCGCGGUAAAACCAGCUCUUCAAGUGGUCGGGAUAAUUAUUGGGCUUAAAGUGUCCGUAGCCGGUUUAGUAAGUUCCUGGUAAAAUCGGGUAGCUUAACUAUCUGCAUGCUAUGAAUACUGCUAUACUAGAGGACGGGAGAGGUCUGAGGUACUACAGGGGUAGGGGUGAAAUCUUAUAAUCCUUGUAGGACCACCAGUGGCGAAGGCGUCAGACUGGAACGUGCCUGACGGUGAGGGACGAAAGCCAGGGGAGCAAACCGGAUUAGAUACCCGGGUAGUCCUGGCCGUAAACGAUGCAUACUGGGUGAUGGCAUGGCCAUGAGCCGUGUCAGUGCCGUAGGGAAACCGUUAAGUGUGCCGCCUGGGAAGUACGGUCGCAAGGCUAAAACUUAAAGGAAUUGGCGGGGGAGCACCACAAGGGGUGAAGCCUGCGGUUC